RNAcentral lists this ribosomal RNA (453 nucleotides) under Triticum aestivum (bread wheat). RNAcentral describes it as "partial small subunit ribosomal RNA". Lineage: Eukaryota; Viridiplantae; Streptophyta; Magnoliopsida; Poales; Poaceae. The record is from RNAcentral.
GGGCGGUAUAUUGCAGAGCAUAGAGAAAAUCAUAACCACUCACUUUCGCCUAAUUUUGCUGACAAAAUCCAUUGGCCAUCACAUAAGCAUAUUGACGUGUACCUGAGAGAUCUCAUAAAGCAACUCAGGCAAAACAAUGUGAAUCUGGGCAAGGUUUAUAGUAUCAUAGGUGGCUUUUUCGGUUCAAUGGAGAAUGUUCCCUUCACCAAAAGGUCAUUGCGAAAUCUGUGUGGGCAGAUAAACAGGGACCAAGCGGAUGAUGAUGUGAGGAAGACAGUGGAAGUUUUUGCAGACAUUGGAGCCAAGGAUCUACAUUUCACAUACCGGGUUCAGGCUGACACUGAGGGCAGGAUCAAGAACCUUAUUUGGGCAACUGGUAGCAGAAGGUUGCAGUACACGUUUUUUUGGAGACAUGAUAACAUUCGACACCACAUACAGGACCAACCUGUAUGA